CCUACGGGGGGCAGCAGUGGGGAAUAUUGGACAAUGGGGGCAACCCUGAUCCAGCCAUGCCGCGUGUGUGAAGAAGGCCCUCGGGUUGUAAAGCACUUUCAGUGAGGAAGAACGCCUGGUGGUUAAUACCCAUCAGGAAAGACAUCACUCACAGAAGAAGCACCGGCUAACUCCGUGCCAGCAGCCGCGGUAAUACGGAGGGUGCGAGCGUUAAUCGGAAUUACUGGGCGUAAAGCGCGCGUAGGUGGCUUGAUAAGCCGGUUGUGAAAGCCCCGGGCUCAACCUGGGAACGGCAUCCGGAACUGUCAAGCUAGAGUGCAGGAGAGGAAGGUAGAAUUCCCGGUGUAGCGGUGAAAUGCGUAGAGAUCGGGAGGAAUACCAGUGGCGAAGGCGGCCUUCUGGACUGACACUGACACUGAGGUGCGAAAGCGUGGGUAGCAAACAGGAUUAGAUACCCUAGUAGC
RNAcentral lists this ribosomal RNA (464 nucleotides) under Vreelandella stevensii. Its description in RNAcentral is "partial 16S ribosomal RNA". It matches the Rfam family "Bacterial small subunit ribosomal RNA", at positions 338 to 794 of the family's 1533-position model. Lineage: Bacteria; Pseudomonadati; Pseudomonadota; Gammaproteobacteria; Oceanospirillales; Halomonadaceae. The record is from RNAcentral.